AACCCUAUCCACAUUGCUUCUUGCGUAGGACAGCUGCCGCCGCCGGCCCUGGCUUUCCCUCAACUCUGUGCCGACGGACUCCUCGGUCGUACACCUACUCACAUCCCCGCCGCCACCACGCGCGCUUCUCCUCCCCAACGCGGCUGCCGGUUUCUGCUCCGUCUCCUCCUCUGCGCCGGUGGCGGGCGUUAUUUUCUUCCCCGUCGUGGCCGCCUCAGCCGCAGCCAUGGCCGCAGCUGCUUCUGCAGGAGAUCGGUGCGGGGCGACGGCGGAUGGACGAGCAGGGCCGCGCCUAGAGGUAUACGAUUCGCCGGCGCCGACAUCGCUGGUGCGGCAGAGAUCUUGCUGCCGAUCCAGGAUGUGCCACGCACUUCCACCACCUCCCAGUACGCGCUGGAUGUGAAUGUGGAGAGGGUGGAGGACAUGGUGACGCACCAGCGGCUGCUCGAGGAGGCCCGAUACCUGCAGCACCGGCUUUCCUUGGAGGUGGGCGUCGUUCAGAUUGCAGAGAUACUAUCCAAGCUACAAAUAAAGGAGGGGGCCAAGAGAGAUUGUGAUGUAGGAUGGUUGCAAAAUAAGAAGGUUUACAAUGUGUUGCAGCAACAAUAGGUGGAACUAUUUAGCUGCUGCCAUUAGUGAGAGGUCCUCUUCCAGCUCUAGACAAAUAUCUUUGGCAUGAUGCAAGGAUGGCCUCUACGCCUCACGACCUAUCGCUUUCUUGGGGAAAAUGGACUGAGCUUGAGAAAGGAAACUAAGAACUCGUCUCAAGAAAGGGUUCUCUCUCAUAUUCUUAAUUAAUCUGGUGGUGGAUAAUGGCCUACUGGUAUUUUGGUUUUAUGCCUGUGGGAUAUGGCAAGAGAUGAUGGUCUCAUGGAGCAUUGAUUUUACUUGAUGAGAAGAUUUCAGUAGAACAUUGCUCUGCCAUGCCUGCAACAUCCUAAUGGACAUGUGGCUAGAACAGGGCAGCGCAUAUCGUCUCCCGGAUUAGAACAGGCAUGUGAGAAUUCUGGUGCCUCUAUUGUUUAUUUCUCAAUGUUGUUGUCAUACUAUGACAGCCAUGCAGUUUACUGAUACCUUUGAAGAAUUAUUGAGGUCUUAUUGCUAUGUACGAGUAGUGAAAGAUAAUGAUCCAUUAUUUCUCUCAUUUUGUGCCCCCCCGCGCUCUUGGAAGGGGUUCACAAGUAUGGCGGGAUGUGCUUGGGGCAGCGGAGGGAGGCGGGCCACUAAGGGGGCUGACAGCGGCAGCCAUGCCGGAGUGGCAAUGGCAGAGUAGCCAAGAUGCAGCAGUCGAGUACCACAUUUAUACACAAGGAGAAGUCCUUAAUUUGACACACAAGAAGGUUAAGAAGACCUGCAAAUUACGAUUGCAGUACAGUUUUAUAUCCCAGUUAGUUGACCAUGCUCUUUUCUGUUUUAUUUGCUGAUGUUUAGUCAAGAUAUCUAUGAUCUCCUAGAUUGCCGAUGUGAGUUUGCUAUUCAGAAAUUUAUAUUUUUUGAUACUAACAAAGAAUCCAGUUGAUGUGUCCAUAGUUUUGUUUCUCUUAGCUAGGAUCUAGAUAAUGUAAAAAUACAAAUCAUUUACUUUUGAGCUUCCAGGUUCAUAGACUAUCUUUUCUACUGAGCAUCUUGCUACAUUUUUUGUAUUCAAGGCUUCGGUUAUUCAAGGCUUCGGUUAUACCUGGUUUCUUUCUGCACUAACAUCACAUAGAAAUUUAUUUACUAGCACAUUCAGUGUACCUAUCUGGGUUGGUUAACUGUUCCACAUGCACAGUUUUUUCUUUUUCACUUGACAGCUUUGUGAUUCGGUACCGAUGUUCUGCUUACUGUCCGUUUAUGUUUCACUUAUAGAGAAACACACUGCUAGCAUUUCCAGAUGUGUACUGAUCUGUUUUGCUUAGCUUUUGUAAACUGGGUUGCUUUGCCUCGUGAUAUUCUGUGAUGUGUUAAUCAUCAUUUACCUUUUUGUUGCCCAUUAGUGAAAAUGAUUGCUAGCAUCUUUAGAAGAUACAAUAUGUUCAGGUUAGAUUAGCUAUGUUAGGUUAAGAAAUCUCUCCAUUAUGCCGGCUUAUCUCCCUGCAACCUUAACACUUCAUAUCCUUUUUAUUUUUUUCACUUUAGCCAGUGAUUCAUGGAUCAUAAACAUUCAGAUUCAGGUACGGUUUCUUCUUUCCAGUUGUUCUGUUUCACAUUGUAUCUUUCAUGUACAAUAGUUGGGCAGAUUUUUUUUUUUGGAUCAAGGGUGGUGGUUUAGUAUGACAAAAAAAGAUGAUCUAUGGCAUUCUAGACUAGGAUACAUAGAUUUCCAGUUAGCAUUGCCACUCAACUGCGCUUAUAUUGACAAAAUUAUGUGGCCCAUUCUUUCAUGGUAAACAUAAAAAGAAAAGAGCUAUCUUCACCUGUCAAAUAUGAAAGCUUGCACUGUUACUUCAUCAGAUGUUAUUUCAUCAGAUGGUCAGUGCAGCAACUCUGAAGUAUUCAUGAUUGGUUGGGUUGUUCAGUUUCUCAAAGGAUUUUAAAAUUAUCACAAAACCUUCAGAUUUCCUAUAAAAUCUAGCUAGCUACCCAAUCAUUUUGAGGUACAACCUUAAAAGGAGACAUCAACGAUUGAUCAAGUUGUCCACUUCAUUAUUUGACAGUGAUCAUGCUCUCCCUUCUAUCACUCUUUUCUCAGUUGCAAGGUGCAAGUAAUCCAUUUUAACGCAGGCAUUACAUCCUUGGAUGCCGAGGGAGCAGAUGACCACCAGAGGAAGUAAAAAGGAAAAAUGGGAGUGUAGCUGGCAAGUUACAUCCUUGCUUUUUUUUUGUAUGUAUCGAUGAUGUAUUGUGUCAAGUCUUAACGUGUCUGAUACCAAGUUUUUUAUUAUACAAUAUAUUGGUCACAACUUGUCAACUUGCACAUGAGCAGUGUGUAUUUUUUUAUUACAUUUUAUACAUUUUUACUCUGAAUU
This is a non-coding RNA of Lolium perenne, 2948 nucleotides long. The record is from RefSeq and is a predicted model, not a curated record. Lineage: Eukaryota; Viridiplantae; Streptophyta; Magnoliopsida; Poales; Poaceae.